RNAcentral lists this ribosomal RNA (327 nucleotides) under Triticum aestivum (bread wheat). RNAcentral's name for it is "partial small subunit ribosomal RNA". Lineage: Eukaryota; Viridiplantae; Streptophyta; Magnoliopsida; Poales; Poaceae. The record is from RNAcentral.
AUGAAUGGUGAAAGGAAGGUCCAUUGGGUAGCUUGGCAGAAAAUGUGUGCUAGCAAGCGCGAUGGUGGUAUGGGCUUCCAGGACCUGGAGGUCUUCGACCAAGCCUUGUUGGCCAAGCAAGCAUGGUGUAUCCUCAGUUCCUACUUCUCUAUGUGCGCGAGUGCUCAAAGCAUGGUAUUCAAGGAUGACACAAUAUCGUCGACCUCUUGCCUGUCGUUUGGGUCAUACACAUUUCGAAGCAUAUUGCAUGGCUGGGAUCUACUGAGGGAAGGACUUAUAUGGAGAGUGAGUUCAAGCGCGAGCAUUAACAUCCAUCACGACCCAUGA